CAAUUGCAAAAACACCCCUCAACAAUAAGCAGUCUGCGAACUGCACUGCAUACUGUUUAACACUGUGAUACCCCAAUAAUCCCACAUCGGAUGGGAAUGGGAUUAUCAUUGGGUUUAGAAGAGACUUAGACACUAGUAAUAAUAACUGGGCUUAAGCAUUUUGGGCCUGUGGUUGGGCCCAACGAGUUAUUGUUACUAGUGGGCUGGGUCGUUACAUUUGGUAUCAGAGCCGGUUCACCAGCUGGACAUAUGUGGCGAGUUUCGGCUGAGCCAGGGUCUGGAUGACGGGCUAGCGAGACGAGUCUCACAUCGCCUGGUGAUCUUGGGCUGUGUGUGUGAUUGGACUGACGAGGACGUUAGGGCCUUAACGAGGGGAGUCU
This 380-nucleotide long non-coding RNA is filed under the name Ananas comosus (pineapple). Its description in RNAcentral is "long non-coding RNA (ACOM_LNC022196)". The record is from RNAcentral. Lineage: Eukaryota; Viridiplantae; Streptophyta; Magnoliopsida; Poales; Bromeliaceae.